CCAUGCUCUUAUUACUCCAUCCACCCACCCGACGCAAAUCCCCAAUCCCAAUCCCUUCCCAUGCGUCGCGAUGAGGACCGAGGAUCCUGAGCCCCCCAACCCCAGCCCCAAACUAUAGCCACUAGGGAACUCGUCUGGGCCAAGACCAAGUGCCGCCACCACUGGUGGCCCACGCACCUCCAUGCCCCCUCCAUCAACGGGCACCUCUGCCACCAGCCGGCGCAUGACCUUCGGCCCCUGCUGCUCUCCCCGCCAGCGCACGACCGAUGGCCGAAGAGCGUCCCUCGCCCCGGCUCCCUGCCCACCUCGACGAGCCGACGCACAUCCAUGACCGGCUGGAGCUUGCGCCGCCAGCCACGUCCACGCCCAUGACCUCCUGCUUGACGCCCUACUCUUCUGUUGGAGGAGGUCCUUGCCGUCGGCCUGCAUCUCAUGGUCAAGCCACCCUCCGCAUGCCUCCUUCCCCUCGGCUAGCUCUGGCCGCCUGCCGUCUCUGACCUUGCCGCCUCCCGUUGGUCCCUUGCACAAAACAUGGUAGCAGGCUCUUCCCGGAGAGUUCAUCUCCCUCCAGCUCCUUCCUAGGGUUCGCCGGAUCUGUCUGUCUCUCUCUUCUCCCACUCUCUCUCUAUCAGGAUUUCACUACCUGAGUCUCUCUCUCUCUGUUUGCAGGCACCCAUGGAGGCGAUGACACGUGGACUACUCGGGUGGUGGCCGCCAAGGACAAGGCCAAGGAGGAUGGCGACCCGAAGUUCGUCGGGGACCUCAUCGUCUUAGACAAGGCACGCCAGUAGGUUACAGAUUUGUGCCGCUGGCCCCAACAAGGCACAUUGCACUACUCGGGGUGUGAUUGUUCUGAUCACCUACUUCAACAACGGCUCGGGCGUAUGUGCCUCAAACUCUUAGCGUGGACUCACUAUUUAUGUUUGUUCUCCUAGGGUUUGUAGAUUGCGAAACAUGGAAUAGAUGUCGAUGAUGCCUACUUGCUUGCCAGCUACAGUGAUGCAUGGACCGGUGAAGCAAGCACACAUGCAAGGCUAGCCCCAUGUAUCUUCCUUGGGUGCAAACAUCAUCUACAAUAUGCAUACCCAGGUCAAACUUGCGAUCAUGGUGAAGGUGCUGAUCUAGGUUUCCUAUCUUCAGAAGUGAAAUGUUUGCUUGCUACCUUCUUUUGGACGUUGUCCUUCAUUCAUGUUUCGUCGUGAGAUCUAGGACGAAGAAGUUGGGAGAAUCAUAAAGUUCUAGCUCAUUGGAGCUAGUUAUACUUGUAUGGCUAGUUAUUUUUUUUGGAUUUUUUAGUUGUGUUACCUGAUGUGAACUAGUUCUGAUUGUAAACCUCAUGUGAUCUUAGAACUAUUAUUGCUCUAGUCUGGUGGGAGUUGUGGAAGCAUAGGAAUGCUAUUGUUUUUGAAGGGGCGCGCCCUUGCUUGGAGUAUCUACUAGGGCGAGUGAGGCAUGAGGGCCAACUGUGGGCAUCGGCCGGGCUAAUGAAAGGGAAUGUAACUCCCUUCUUUACUAGAGUGGAGAGGUGGGAGAUGAGUGAGGAGUAAUAUGUAACAAAACCGUGUAAUUGUGGUGGAGGCUUUCUAUGCCUUUCUUCUUUAAUAUAUGAUAUGCACACUCAUGCAUAUUCGAAAAAAAUAAACCUCAUGUGAACCAUGUUUGAUUGCAAUGUGCCA
Molecule: ribosomal RNA, 1676 nt
Filed under: Triticum aestivum (bread wheat)
Lineage: Eukaryota; Viridiplantae; Streptophyta; Magnoliopsida; Poales; Poaceae
Description: partial small subunit ribosomal RNA
Source: RNAcentral